Molecule: ribosomal RNA, 451 nt
Filed under: uncultured bacterium
Lineage: Bacteria
Description: partial 16S ribosomal RNA
Rfam family: Bacterial small subunit ribosomal RNA
Source: RNAcentral
GUGGGGAAUAUUGGACAAUGGGGGGAACCCUGAUCCAGCCAUGCCGCGUGUGUGAAGAAGGCCUUUUGGUUGUAAAGCACUUUAAGCGAGGAGGAGGCUACCGAGAUUAAUACUCUUGGAUAGUGGACGUUACUCGCAGAAUAAGCACCGGCUAACUCUGUGCAAGCAGCCGCGGUAAUACAGAGGGUGCAAGCGUUAAUCGGAUUUACUGGGCGUAAAGCGCGCGUAGGUGGCCAAUUAAGUCAAAUGUGAAAUCCCCGGGCUUAACUUGGGAAUUGCAUUCGAUACUGGUUGGCUAGAGUAUGGGAGAGGAUGGUAGAAUUCCAGGUGUAGCGGUGAAAUGCGUAGAGAUCUGGAGGAAUACCGAUGGCGAAGGCAGCCAUCUGGCCUAAUACUGACACUGAGGUGCGAAAGCAUGGGGAGCAAACAGGAUUAGAAACCCUAGUAGUCC